UACGAAGGGCCCGAGCGUUGCGCGGAAUCACUGGGCUUAAAGCGUACGUCGGCGGACAUUCAGGCACCUUGUGAAAUCCCUCGGCUCAACCGAGGAAUCGCUUGGUGAACCGUUUGUCUUGAGGCAAGUAGGGGCUGUCGGAACGAUAGGUGGAGCGGUGAAAUGCGUUGAUAUCUAUCGGAACGCCGAAGGUGAAGACAGGCAGCUGGGCUUGUUCUGACGCUCAGGUACGAAAGCGUGGGGAGCGAACGGG
Molecule: ribosomal RNA, 253 nt
Filed under: uncultured bacterium
Lineage: Bacteria
Description: partial 16S ribosomal RNA
Rfam family: Bacterial small subunit ribosomal RNA
Source: RNAcentral